Molecule: ribosomal RNA, 396 nt
Filed under: uncultured bacterium
Lineage: Bacteria
Description: partial 16S ribosomal RNA
Rfam family: Bacterial small subunit ribosomal RNA
Source: RNAcentral
AUACGAAGGGUGCAAGCGUUACUCGGAAUUACUGGGCGUAAAGCGUGCGUAGGUGGUUGUUUAAGUCUGUCGUGAAAGCCCUGGGCUCAACCUGGGAAUGGCGAUGGAAACUGGGCGACUAGAGUGUGGCAGAGGGUAGUGGAAUUCCUGGUGUAGCAGUGAAAUGCGUAGAGAUCAGGAGGAACAUCCGUGGCGAAGGCGACUGCCUGGGCCAACACUGACACUGAGGCACGAAAGCGUGGGGAGCAAACAGGAUUAGAUACCCUGGUAGUCCACGCCCUAAACGAUGCGAACUGGAUGUUGGGUGCAAUUUGGCACGCAGUAUCGAAGCUAACGCGUUAAGUUCGCCGCCUGGGGAGUACGGUCGCAAGACUGAAACUCAAAUGAAUUGACGGG